CACAAAAUCCACUGACACAGUGAAAGUGUUUACAUUUUGCAUUAUUUUUCUGAUUCAACCUGAUGAAUGGUGUGUACUCAUUGAAUACAUGUACUGUAUAUGAAAUUAAUGAAGCAGUAAUUUGACAAAUACAAGCAAUGAGACAUUGUUCAUUGAUUAAAAUAUGGAAUAUUUUUCUGGUGUCCUUCACAAAUGAGACAAUUAAUCCUUGAGAUAUAAAAGAAUGCUUCAAGGUCAACAGAAUAUGAUUGAAAUUAUAAAGGCUUGUAAUGUAGUUUCUUAUUAUCAUUAUUAUAAUAUUGACAUGUUGUGAUGUCUUGCACUAAUCAGUGUUUGUUUUGUAUUAUAUUUCAGAUAUAAUAGUAUGAAUAUAGAGGUGAUUAUUUAGUUACCUUCAACUGGUCAGUGGUCAAAAGGGAGUAUGACUGUGUGUCUUGAAGUAUUGAAUGCCCCCAAAACAACCAGUAUGAUAAGAAGGUAUACUAUCUAGGUUGAAAACAGCCAUGGACAAUGAAUUUGGAGGUGCAUGCUGGAGCAUCAGAAAUUACAUACUUGGAAUAAAUAAUUGCACAACACACAUUUACUGAGAAGUGACUAAUGUUUAUGUUAAAGUGCAAUAUCCAUGUUUGUAACAUUUACAUGGGGGUAAUAGUUACAGUGUUGAAAGAGACUACCAGUGUUACAUUUCAAACUAAGUUACAGUGUGGAUGCUAAUUCUAAAUUCUUGAUAAUCAAGUGUUUUUAAUAAUUUAUGAAUACUAAUUAUUUAUCAAACUGUUUAAUUUAUCACAUUCCUACAUCAUUAUUUUAUAUAAAAUGCUUGUAGUUAUAUAAUAUAUGUCAGGUUAAAUGGUAAUAAAUUUUGUUUCUGUGUAAA
Molecule: long non-coding RNA, 877 nt
Organism: Mercenaria mercenaria
Lineage: Eukaryota; Metazoa; Mollusca; Bivalvia; Venerida; Veneridae
Exons: 3
Source: RefSeq, a predicted model, not a curated record